GAACGGGCGUAUUUUGAAGCGACGGCAUUGAGAGAGCAGCGUCGCUGGUGCUCCGAUCAUGUGCCGGAGGUUUAUCAUUUUGAUAGGGAAAUGGCUUUAAUCGGUAUGAGGUACUUGGAGCCUCCGCAUAUAAUUCUUAGAAAGGGCCUGAUUGCUGGAAUUGAGUACCCUUUGCUUGCUGAACACAUGUCUGAGUUUAUGGCGAGGACUCUUUUCUUCACAUCUCUUCUAUACCAUGACACAACCGAGCACAAACGUGCAGGUAAAUGCUUUUUGAUAUAAUUUGUUUCGAGGUUCAUAGUUUCAUGAACGUUCUGGUCUUUUGAUUUUUUUAGAUUAUUCUUUGAAUUGAAGCAUAGGAUGCAAAAUGCAUAAAUUAAUUUAUAAAGUGACUAUGAGUUUUUGAGCAGCAUAAUUGGUACAGCUGUAGUUAAAUAUUUCUGCAGUAAGCCAAGAACUUUGUCUUAUCCUCAAAUAUGUUGUGCCAAGAGUAAUUACUGGUAGAAUGUACGAGAAAAUUGCAGUUUGCUUCUGAUGAAGUUAUUCUAUUGACAAGAUUGAAUCAUGUUCAAAUUGUGCUUUAUGCAGUUGCUGAAUUUUGUGGUAAUGUGGAGUUAUGUCGGCUCACUGAGCAAGUUGUGUUCUCUGAUCCAUACAAAGUAUCUCAGUACAAUCGGUGGACUUCUCCUUAUCUUGACCGUGAUGCUGAGGCAGUUCGAGAGGAUAACAUUUUGAAGCUUGAAGUUGCCGAGUUGAAAUCUAUGUAGUGCUUCCAUAUCAGUACCUCAUUUCUUUACGUAAUAUAAAAUAUUUCUAUUAAUAGCAGUUUAAUUCUGAAGUAAACAGGUUGAAAUCCUUUCUAUGCCUAGUUAGAAUCUAUUUUGCAGGUUCUGUGAGAGAUCACAAGCCCUAGUACAUGGAGAUCUUCAUACUGGUUCAGUUAUGGUUACCCCUGAUUCGACUCAAGUUAUAGAUCCAGAAUUUGGAUUUUAUGGACCAAUGGGGUUUGAUAUAGGCGCAUUUUUAGGAAACUUGAUUUUGGCUUACUUUGCACAAGAUGGGCAUGCUGAUCAAGUGAAUGAUAGAAAAGUAUGUCUGUGUUCUUAACUUCGUUUCUAUGGUUUUUCCCAUUUCCCCAAAGUUUGAAAAUAUUUAGCUGUCCAUAGUCUAGUGUUAAUUUUCUUGUUUCUUUUUUCCUUUGAAUUUUGUCAUAAUCCUUAAUGGUCUUUUCAAUUCAUCCAAUUGUGGCUUUCCUUUGCAUUUCCUCUUAUACCUUAUAGUUUCUUGUUAAAGACAUACAACAUGAGGUCCUUCUUCCUUAUAUCUACAUGGCCUUGAGGUUGAAGUUUGGACCCAGAAAUUUUAACCCUUCUUGUAGAGUUCAAAGAAUAUGCUAAAUGAAUGUGGUUUGGAGGAUGUAGUAAAUGAUUAUAUGAGCUUAAAUUCUGUAUUCAAUGCAUACAGUUUUGAGAACGAUUUAACAUGUUUCCACUUAUCCUUUAGGAUAAACCUUUUUAACUCUAUGAAAAGGAGUUCUUUAGCAUGGACUUUGUAUCUGAAAAAGGUGUUUUCAUAUAAUUUUUGUAUAACAAAACAGAGAAUUCAAUACAAUAGUUUUGAAAUAUUUUUAUCUUGUUCUUUGUGGUGUGAUGUUUAUCUUCAAUUCCUUUAUUUAAUUUACAUUAUUAAUUAUGUUUUGUAUUUGACUGAAUGUUAACUUUUUGUUUGUCCGUUUUGUAUUGGUUUUCUGCCAUUUACCACUGUUACCUGCCCUUAGAACUGUAUUGUAUAAAUUCUAGGCUCCACGUAGAAUCCCUGACUUGAUGCUAAGCCAUAACUCAUCAUGGACAUUAAGUACUUUCUAUUCCUCAAUUCUUAAAGAAUUAAAAAUGUCAUUGUUGGGUAAUGAUCCUCAAGCCUUUUCUUUUGCAGACAUAUAAAGAAUGGAUUUUGAAGGCAAUAGAACAGACUUGGAAUCUUUUCCACAAAAAAUUUACUGCAUUAUGGGAUGAACACAGGAAUGGCUCUGGUGAGGCGUAUCUUCCAGAAAUUUAUAAUAACUCUGAACUUCAGCUUCUUACACAAAAGAAAUACAUGCAAGGUUUGUUGCAUGACACCCUCGGAUUUGGUGCUGCCAAAAUGAUAAGGUGAGGUUGUGAUUCAGUUUGUUAAUUAUAUUUUUUGUAUCAUUGCUUUCUUCUACUAUUGAUGCUUCUUUUCUAUUUCCUUGCAUCUUUAAAAACAUUUUAUGACAGUACAAAUGUAGAUAUCUUCUUAAGCUUUUUUUACUACAUUUUAUGGCAUUUUUCUUUGAAAUUUUAGAUUUGUAGAUUUAUUUUUAGUUUUAUUUUCAUUUUUUAGUUUUAGGCAUUUUAAAUGAUCCUUAAACCUUUGAAUGUCAAAUGGAAAUAUUGGUUUAAAUAUAUAAUUAUACCAAUUCAAGUACUUGAAACAUCGAUUUAUAUAAGUGGUAUCAUGAAGCCCUGUGUUACAUUCUUGUCAUAGACUUCAUACAAUUAUCUCUUUUUAAGACUUAUCGAUCUUUUGAUUCACAGGAGAAUUGUUGGUGUAGCACAUGUUGAGGAUUUUGAAUCAAUUGUUGAUGCUAGCAAGCGAGCUAACUGUGAGAGACAGGCACUUGUAUUUGCAAAGAUGCUUUUGAAGGAAAGGAGAAAAUUUCAGGCUAUCACUGAAGUUGUUUUAGCCGUUCAGCAAGAACAAUCAUGAGAAAAGUAUUAGGUAAAGUUGAAUGUUUGGUUAGGGCAUGCAGAAUUAGUUGGGGUGGGUGUUCUGAUAUGAUUUGGAUCCCAAAUUGCCAUUUGGAGCAAUGAUGAUACGAUAUUAUAUCUGGUUUAUACCAAUGAUCUGAAUUGCACUUCUUGCUGUAUUUGCUUCUGUUGUUUGCUACAAAUGAUUCUCAUAAGGUCCUGAUGAAAUUAUCAAUCCACAGAUUGAUACAUUUUAAAAAUUUUACCAAUAUUUUCUAUAUCUGAUCAGCUUUACUAUAUGCUUUUAUGAAUGCAAGUAAUUCUACAUCUUCAUAUGUGAUUAAAAAUAACCUCUUAUGCACCAUAUUAUUUACUAUAAUUCAGAAUUAACUUGGCUAUUUUCCAUGAAGUCUAGCAAUUUCAGAACAGAGUAUUUAAUCUUGGUGGUGGGGGGAGAACAGAGUAUUUAAUCUUGACGGGAUAUGCUUUUUAGCCCUUUGCUCAUUGCAUUUAUAUGUUUCCCCGCAAUGAGUUUGAACCCAAAAGCUUCUAAACCCACUUUUUUGUUUCAUAUGUAAGACUCCAUGCAUCAAAAAGUCAUUUGAAGUUCGAACAAAAAAUGAACCUGUAUGUCUUAGUUUCUCCUGACAGAGUGUCUUUCUGAUCUGUCACAGUAAUUUGAUCCAUUGAAUGGUGAUUGGAGUUUUUGAGACAGGGAUCGAAUACUAGAAUAUAUUGUUUGGCCUUGGAUUUACCCAAUAAUCAAUUCCUUACCUUUCCAACUGUGUCCCUACCUACCAAUCCAAAACAAACUAAUCUUGCUCCUAUAUAUAUAUAUUUAACAGGAAACUUUUUCUUUUUCUUUUUCUUUUUCCUUUUUGGUUGUCCCUGUUGAGACUCCAACCUUGAACAUCCCAUAUCCCCACACAAAUCCUUGCCACUUGGCCUCAAGGGCUAGUCUUGCUUAUAUUGAUACUAAUUAAACACUGAAAAGAUCCUAUCUUGAUUGGCUUUGAAGCUAUAUCAUUGAACCCAUAUUACAUUUUUAGCGUGAACAAUAUGAAUUCGUUUAGAUAUUGCAUGUUUCUUCAUCUUUGUUGAAACUAAUCUAUCCAGUGGGUGGUCCAUAUUGGUUUUCCAAGGUCUUCAAACAUUCAGAUUGAAACUAAUCUACCGGAAGAACUACUUAAGACUUUGAUCUAGUUAAUUUAUCGAUGUCAGUUUUGUGACUGAUGAGCAUGGGAUUAGCCACAAUGGUUGGUCAUGAACUUUAAAUAUUCUUGAAGUAGAUCAUGUUAAAGUCAUGUGAAGGGAACGGCAAUUGAAUGGUGAAGGAAAUCUUGAUUUGUAUGUUUUAUACCAGCAACAACAUUACCAUAGAUUUUCUGUAUGCUUGUCCUGUUUGAACCAACAAUAUUAGCUUAAAAAAUGUGUGCUUGUUAGAGAGAGAUUUUUAAAGGGUAUCCUGACCCAUGACUUAUGCUGCAUCUGUUGAGGCAUGAGAAGCACACCUUUUACAAGCCUUGGCUUGAGGCAAAAGAGUUCAUUGUCUAGUUAGGCUCAAUUUCCAGUUACAUGAUGCAUAUUAGAAAAAAAUAAUCGGACGCACCCUAACUUUUUUUGAUAAGCUUACACAAGAUGACUGACCAUCUGAUCCAGGAUGGAUCUCUAUUCAACUGUUGUAUGCUGUGAUGAAAUGCGGAAGAAUUUGACAUUUGCUGUGAUAAAAUGAGGAAGAAUUUAACAAUUUGGGGGAAAGGGAGUGGGUUUGUGGUUGUGUUUUUGGGGUUGGGUUUGGUUUGGGUUGGUUGUUUUUUGGGAGCAUCGCUUGGUUUGGUUGGGUGGUGGUUGUUUGUCACUUGUUAGGCGAGGAGAAGGGGAGGAGGUGUGGUGUGGUGGUGUUGCUGUUUGGUUCAGGUUUGUUUGAGUAAUGUGUUCAGUGUAUGUUUUGAAUGGUUUAAAGCUCCAUCCCCAUGACAAUNNNNNNNNNNNNNNNNNNNNNNNNNNNNNNNNNNNNNNNNNNNNNNNNNNNNNNNNNNNNNNNNNNNNNNNNNNNNNNNNNNNNNNNNNNNNNNNNNNNNAAUUUGCCAAUUUAUUCAAAUACUGAUUCAGAAAAACACGACACAACUCAUCAUAUCAUUUGUGUUCGCAGGCACAUUUCUGGGCAUUAUUAUUAUUAUUAUUAUACUUAGCCUUGCACUAACUACGGAGCUGAUCAGUGAUCUUUCUCAUCUCUUUUCUCAGUUCCGCUACAAACCCACUUUGGAGAGUGUUAUAGUAGUCCAGGAACCUCGCAGUCACAGACCCGCAACAUAACCCCCGUCCCGCUAGUCCCCUUGGCCAGGUUGCACCCAGUGAGAUGGUGCAUACCCUGCCUUAAGUCUCACAAAAUCUACAAUGCCUGCAAUCAGUCCUCCAGGGAUCUGGAAAUUAAAUCCUGCAAUACCAAUUUAUGAUACAACAUGACACGCCCUCUCGGAAUUUAUAUGAUCUGAAAUGUCUGUGUUGGGUAUGCUAAUAGAAACUGUUUGCUUAGCCGGAAGAGUAUUUCUAGGGUCUUAAAAUGAACAGGGUACCGACAAAGGUGAUGCCAGUUCAAUAGACGAAAUUAAAACCCUUUUUUUACGUGGCAGGUAGAACCAAAUUUUCUAGGAAAAUUACAAUUUGAAGAUGAUGACAGUUGGAUUAAAGACUUUGCCUUCAUGGCACUUCGAAAUGCUGCAUAAUAUCACUGUAAAAGGCAUAUAGGUAUAUCACAAGUGGCAAAACAUACGUCAGCUGGGGUGCCUGCUCCACGUGUUAUUAUUAAUAUUCCUAAAAUAGCUGUAAAGUGUGCAAUUUUGGGAUAUUCAUUUUCUUGUAGAGCGAAGGACGUGCAUGGUAGUAGUAGCACGUGCUUGUAUGUAUUCAUUCAUGGCUUCUAGAUGAUGAAUUAAAUUAGAGAAUUAGGGUUCUGUUUUGAACGCAGCUUUUUGAGGCUUUUGGGGGCGACACCUACCACCAAGUCAUUUAAUCAGCCAAACAAACCCCAAGUUGGGCCUCUUUCUUUGAUUUUAGAUUACUAAAAAAUCAGCAUCUUAAUUACCCAGGCAACCCUUAGUUCAUAUCCAUAGUGUUAAUUAAUUUCCUUAUUGAGAUGAAGCUCAUCCAAAGAGUGACAAAAAACAAAGAGAUGGAUAAGGGAGGGAAUGAUGAAUGGAGAAUGGAGCCGCCCUUGUGUGUUUGCCCCUGCCUGCUUAGCUCUCUCAAGUCGAUCUGGAUAUAACCUGGAACGUUGCUGUCACUGAUUUAUGCAAACAAAUAAGUCUUGCUUUCAAGUCCAAGUCUUCACCCUCUGGUAGUCCAAGUCUUCCUCCCCUUUAAGUCUCAAGUCUUCGUGGGCAUUGAUAUCUAUCCUUAUCUUUUCAUUAUUUUUAUUACUUGCCACUCUAUUUCCUUAAUUUUUUUUUCUUAAUAAAAGUUAAUUUUUGACCAAAUAUUUCUAAUUAUUGUCCAGCAUAGGAAGUAAAGCAAAUAAAACAUCAGUUUAUUUAGUUAAUAAAUCUUACGAAAGAAAUGUAUUUGUAACGUAGAAUUUAUAUAAAAUGUAUUAAGUAAUUUUUGGAAAGUUAAAAUUUUAUUUUCUAAGAAAAUUUUGAUUCUAACUUUCUAGACUUUUGGGCUUAUAUAUUCCUUAUACCUAAAUAUGUUUUAAGGCCAGAUGCUUUCAUUCAAAAAAUAUCCUUAACCUACUCCUAUCAUUCCUAAAAGCACUCAAAGGUUGAACUUUGGAUUGUUGAAGAGAUUUGCAUCUCUUUGGAGGCUAAGGCAAAUCAACUCGAGUAUUUCCGUCGCAACGAUGACGUCAUCUGGAUUCCGGCCCCUUGACGACAAGUCUCUCGUAGAGUACAUAAAGGCCACGCCUGCUCUCUUCUCCAAGCUUGCAAACCAGCUCCAUGGAUUGCAGAUCAAAGAAGUGGGCGACGGCAAUCUCAACUUCGUCUACGUCGUCAUCUCUUCCGCCGGCUCCUUCGUCAUCAAACAGGUACAAAUUUGUAUUCAUUAGGGAACCUCACAACUUUGGAUUCUUACUGAACAAAAAAUGGCUUCACUGUGGAAGAAUUUGAAGUAUUUGUGAAGGUUUGGUCGAAGUGACUGUUUAUUACAAGGAGGGAAUGGAAUAAAUAGAUAGAGCAGAGUGCUCUGCCUUACAUUACCAAACGAGGCUGUACAGCUCAGCACUUAUUCUAACAAGCCAUAUCUAGAAUAUUCUAUACAAAUAUAGCUGUUAUAACAGAUUAAAUAAAUGCUAGUAUGCUAGAACUGUUGUAAGAUGUGGUUGUGUUGAGAGUGCAGGCGUUGCCGUACAUACGUAGUAUAGGGGAAUCGUGGCCGAUGACGAAGGACCGGGCGUAUUUUGAAGCGACGGCUUUGAGAGAGCAGCGUCGCUGGUGCUCCAAUCAUGUGCCGGAGGUUUAUCAUUUUGAUAGGGAAAUGGCUGUAAUCGGUAUGAGGUACUUGGAGCCUCCGCAUAUAAUUCUUAGAAAGGGCCUGAUUGCUGGAAUUGAGUACCCGU
Molecule: long non-coding RNA, 7263 nt
Filed under: Vitis vinifera (wine grape)
Lineage: Eukaryota; Viridiplantae; Streptophyta; Magnoliopsida; Vitales; Vitaceae
Description: long non-coding RNA (VVIN_LNC000715)
Source: RNAcentral